CCAUUUUUUUGCAACAUUUUUUGUAACCUGGAAGUUUAGGUAAUCUCAUCUACCAAUAUGGUUAUAUAUCGUAUAGUACUUACGACAUUGUGUAAUAAUAAAGUAAAUGAAGACUGAUGUGAUUACACCACUCAAACAUGAUAAAAAAAAGUGAUUACGGAAAAAGUGGGUGUGGUUCGUAGCCAAUGAGAAAGGGAAGGUCCGUGACGUCAGCAUUAAAAUUGUAUUCGAAUUUUUAUGGUUUGUUUUAAUGAUUACGGAAAAACAGAGAGGUUUUACCUAAUAAUUGAACUUUGUAAUAACACAUUUUAUUGUUAAAAAGUGAUAAAACUUAUUUAAACAGUAAUUCUGAAUGUACUGUAAAGGUCCAUUGUUUUUCUUUGAGAGUUGUUUUGUAAUUUUGUCAUUGUUAUCAAAUAUAUGUUUUUCAUUACUGAA
This is a long non-coding RNA of Zophobas morio, 438 nucleotides long. RefSeq lists it as uncharacterized. The transcript is spliced from 2 exons. Lineage: Eukaryota; Metazoa; Arthropoda; Insecta; Coleoptera; Tenebrionidae. The record is from RefSeq and is a predicted model, not a curated record.